GAUGAACGCUAGCGGCAGGCUUAACACAUGCAAGUCGAGGGGUAUGCCGAUUUAUCGGCAGAGACCGGCGCACGGGUGCGUAACGCGUAUGCAAUCUACCUUUCACAGAGGGAUAGCCCAGAGAAAUUUGGAUUAAUACCUCAUAGUAUAGCAGUUUCGCAUGAAACCACUAUUAAAGUUCCAACGGUGAAAGAUGAGCAUGCGUCCCAUUAGCUAGAUGGUAAGGUAACGGCUUACCAUGGCUACGAUGGGUAGGGGUCCUGAGAGGGAGAUCCCCCACACUGGUACUGAGACACGGACCAGACUCCUACGGGAGGCAGCAGUGAGGAAUAUUGGUCAAUGGGGCGCAAGCCUGAACCAGCCAUGCCGCGUGCAGGAAGACGGUCCUAUGGAUUGUAAACUGCUUUUUGUACAGGAAGAAACACCUCUACGUGUAGAGACUUGACGGUACUGUAAGAAUAAGGAUCGGCUAACUCCGUGCCAGCAG
This 487-nucleotide ribosomal RNA is filed under the name uncultured bacterium. RNAcentral describes it as "bacterial SSU rRNA". It matches the Rfam family "Bacterial small subunit ribosomal RNA", at positions 28 to 514 of the family's 1533-position model. The record is from RNAcentral.